GUCCUACAUAAUAAUCGCUUUCAUGUAGCGUAGGAUGUAAGUAAGCAAAAGCUGAAACCAAGAAUUAUU
Molecule: non-coding RNA, 69 nt
Filed under: unclassified sequences
Source: RNAcentral